RNAcentral lists this ribosomal RNA (450 nucleotides) under uncultured bacterium. RNAcentral's name for it is "partial 16S ribosomal RNA". It matches the Rfam family "Bacterial small subunit ribosomal RNA", at positions 354 to 796 of the family's 1533-position model. The record is from RNAcentral.
GUGGGGAAUAUUGGACAAUGGGCGAAAGCCUGAUCCAGCCAUGCCGCGUGUGUGAAGAAGGUCUUCGGAUUGUAAAGCACUUUAAGUUGGGAGGAAGGGCAGUAAGUUAAUACCUUGCUGUUUUGACGUUACCGACAGAAUAAGCACCGGCUAACUUCGUGCCAGCAGCCGCGGUAAUACGAAGGGUGCAAGCGUUAAUCGGAAUUACUGGGCGUAAAGCGCGCGUAGGUGGUUCAGCAAGUUGGAGGUGAAAUCCCCGGGCUCAACCUGGGAACUGCCUCCAAAACUACUGGGCUAGAGUACGGUAGAGGGUAGUGGAAUUUCCUGUGUAGCGGUGAAAUGCGUAGAUAUAGGAAGGAACACCAGUGGCGAAGGCGACUACCUGGACUGAUACUGACACUGAGGUGCGAAAGCGUGGGGAGCAAACAGGAUUAGAUACCCGGGUAGUCC